CCACCUACAUUUAUUAAUUUAUAUGCCCACAACUGCCAUGGCAAGGUAGCCCUUAUGAUUGCUCGAUAUAAUUAUAUCCUUAAGAUACUUGUACUCAACCAUCCCAACCUAACUUACUAAGGCAAUUGACAUAUUGCAUUUGAUAAUCAUGCCACCCAAACUUGAAGAAAACUUGUUUAAUCCACUUCAACCCUUUCUAUUCACACCAUUACGAGUCAUCAUCACUUUCAACUAACUCUUGAGCCUUCACUCAUUUUUUGUAAUAUACAAGAUUCCUUAUCCUUGAUCCAUAGAUUGUUACCACAAGGUUGGCUUUACACUUCUUUUUCUUGAAAAUGAUGGAUCUCAAUGAAGCUAGAAAUCAUCCAAUUUGGUGAUCCUAUGGUACAAAUCGGUGAAAAAUAUUAUAUCCUCUGUUUCCAAAUUUUUUUAAUGCCAAAAUCCCAAUCUAAUUACCAAGCUAAGACCCUCAUGAAAAAGAAAUGAUUGAGACUCAUACCGAGCUAAAAAAUUACUGCCACUAUUAAAACAACUUUAUGUUGAUCUGGAUCCAAUCCAGAUCUAAACUGAACCCAUAUUUCAUGCAUUGGGGUUGGGUUAUACAUGGACUAGUUCCAACCUAAAUGAUCCAUUAGAUCAAGAAGUUUGAUCAUGGACCAGACUCG
RNAcentral lists this long non-coding RNA (665 nucleotides) under Elaeis guineensis (African oil palm). RNAcentral's name for it is "long non-coding RNA (EGUI_LNC008850)". Lineage: Eukaryota; Viridiplantae; Streptophyta; Magnoliopsida; Arecales; Arecaceae. The record is from RNAcentral.